UACGCAGGCGGCUUGGUAAGACAGAUGUGAAAUCCCCGGGCCUAACCUGGGAACUGCAUUUGUGGCUGCCAUGGCUCGAGUCUGUCAGAGGGGGGUGGAAUUCCACGUGUAGCAGUGAAAUGCGUAGAGAUGUGGAGGAACACCGAUGGCGAAGGCAGCCCCCUGGGAUGAGACUGACGCUCAUGUACGAAAGCGUGGGGAGCAAACAGGAUUAGAUACCCUGGUAGUCCACGCCCUAAACGAUGUCGACUAGUUGUCGGGAAUUCAUUUUCUCGGUAACGCAGCUAACGCGUGAAGUCGACCGCCUGGGGAGUACGGUCGCAAGAUUAAA
Molecule: ribosomal RNA, 331 nt
Filed under: uncultured bacterium
Lineage: Bacteria
Description: bacterial SSU rRNA
Rfam family: Bacterial small subunit ribosomal RNA
Source: RNAcentral